Long non-coding RNA from Hypanus sabinus (Atlantic stingray), 785 nucleotides. RefSeq lists it as uncharacterized. NCBI's taxonomy places the organism in Eukaryota, Metazoa, Chordata, Chondrichthyes, Myliobatiformes, Dasyatidae. The record is from RefSeq and is a predicted model, not a curated record. The transcript has 3 exons.
GCGCUUGCGGUGGCUGCACCGAGUUUGAGUGCGUCCCUCAGCACGUAGUCCUGCAGCCGAGAACGUGCCAGUCGGCAGCAUUCCCCCACGGACAUCUCCGUGUGCUGGCAGACCAUCAAGUUUCGGGCCGACCAAAGAGCGUCUUUCACCGAGUUGAUGAUCUGCCAGCAACCUCCUGGUUAAAAGGUAGCUCUUUUACACAGUUUGAAGUCGAUAGUCAAACUGAGGGAACUGCCGUGAAACUCUGCUUAUGAAUUCAUGAAGCGCACCUGAUUGAAAGGCAUUCACAGUAGAAUGAAGAAAUACAAUAGGAUCAAUAAAAAGCUACGCUCAAAGACUGAAACAACCAAUGUGCAAAAGACGACAAGGAAUGGGACUUUUUCUUGGGGUCUCACGACUGGCUGUUAUUCAAUAUACCAAGAACGUGGCCUAGAAGACUAGCAUGCCUUCAGGAUUCUGGGAUUUUGUGGCUCUGGAGGUGGGCGGACUCUGGGUCAGUGCCUCUGCAGGACAUCAGUGUGCCGUGGGAGAUGGAAGAUCGAAAGCAGCAAGCUGGCUGCUGGGUGUGUACCCAGAGACCCGAGCUCUUUGGGCAGAAAACUCGGAAAAAAUGAUGCAACGGACUUAUAAUAUUGUAAAUCAACGAGUCGUUUGUUACAUCUCCCCUCUCACUGUGAAAUGGAGAUACCUCCUUUUCCCCUAUUAGGGAGAGGGAGCGAGCCUGUGGUACAUUGAAUUACUGGGUGAAUGAGUAGUCUGUGUCUUUAUUGAUGGUUUGCUGCGCG